Hydra vulgaris (swiftwater hydra) is the source of this 1310-nucleotide long non-coding RNA. RefSeq lists it as uncharacterized. The record is from RefSeq and is a predicted model, not a curated record. Lineage: Eukaryota; Metazoa; Cnidaria; Hydrozoa; Anthoathecata; Hydridae.
AUGCAAAUUCUCAAAUCAAAAAUUAUCAAAACUUAACCAACAAUCAAGCAGCAAAUUUUAGUUCUGAAUCUUUAGGUAGUAAACAUUUUGUACCACUUUUUCCACCACCUCCCUGUCAAAAGUUGACUUCCACCACCUCCACAGAUCGUAUUGAUAAAUCUUCGCCGGCUAUUUCUAGCACAAACUGCAAUUUAUGCAGUAAAAAGCUAUACAUCAACAGCUAUUCAACUGGACGAAUUAUUAUCUAAAUGUCUAGCAAGCAGGGAUGGACUAAAAAAACUUGAUAAAACAUUCAUAACAGAACAGUACCAGCAUAUGAUGUUCAAGAUGGUACCAAAGAUUCUUGAAAAAAGGAGCUCAUUAUCGCUAUAAAUAAAUAACCCCAUAGUAAUUUGGCAAUCAAGCAAUUGGACACUAUUGUAUGAGGAUUUCAUAAAAUAUUUCGAGGAUGAUUCUACUUGAUUUGAUUAUUUACAAAUACCUUCCAUGACUCGUUAAACUUAAAAGGUUCUGGUGGAAAGAUUAUUUAUCAUCAACCAAACUAUGUGAUCUAAUAGAAGAAGUUGUUAAAUGAAGAUUUGAAAAGGUUUUAAAUGAUAUUAAACAGCAAAGUGGACAGUUUUGUAAAAAUGCAAUAUUAAUUUAUGAGUUCGCUUAAUAAUGUUUUUAAUGUUGUCCGUAGUGACAACUUAAUUACACCAUUGAUGAACAGUUUUCUUAAAUUAUAACUUAAUAAAUCUUUAGACCGUCUUUAGUACGAUGUAUUGAAGCAGUAUUCUGUAAAACGCUAUUCCGACGAACAAAGGUGACCAUUUUAAGGCAUUUUUUAGACGCUAAUUUUUAUCUAAACUAAAUACUUAAAAGCGCCUAAAAUAAGACUAAAAGACGUUUUGAAUAAAACGUUUUUAGGACGUUAAAAUAGGAAGUUUUUAUCUGUCUAGAGUAAAACAUCUUUAAGCAAUCUUGAGUAAGACAUCUUUUCGAUUGACAACGUAGACCUUUUUAAUACAUCUUUAAGACGUCUUGAAUAAAACGUUUUUAGUCUGUUUAAAUAAGUCAUUUGAAACCACUUUAUAAUAAGACGACUAUAAGCAAUCUCGAAUAAGACGUCGUUUCGACGGACAACGUAAACCUUUUUAAGAUAUCUUUGAGACAUUUUUUUAAACUUGAAAAGACGUCUUUAAAACAGCUAAAAGAUAUCUUUUUGUUUGAUAGGAUUGCUCUAUACAUAAGAAAUAGGUAUUACUACAGAAUAUUGAAAAGUUUUAUUGUUAAAAGACAGAUUGCUUGCGCCCAUUCUCUUCAUAGCC